CGGGACGGGUGGGUAAGUGUCGUAGGGAAACGUCGCCUGAGGGAGGGGGAAUACUACUGGAAACGGUAGCUAAUACCGCAUAACGUCGCAAGACCAAAGAGGGGGACCUUCGGGCCUCUUGCCAUCGGAUGUGCCCAGAUGGGAUUAGCUAGUAGGUGGGGUAACGGCUCACCUAGGCGACGAUCCCUAGCUGGUCUGAGAGGAUGACCAGCCACACUGGAACUGAGACACGGUCCAG
This 238-nucleotide ribosomal RNA is filed under the name uncultured bacterium. RNAcentral describes it as "partial 16S ribosomal RNA". It matches the Rfam family "Bacterial small subunit ribosomal RNA", at positions 100 to 334 of the family's 1533-position model. The record is from RNAcentral.